Homalodisca vitripennis (glassy-winged sharpshooter) is the source of this 482-nucleotide long non-coding RNA. RefSeq lists it as uncharacterized. Lineage: Eukaryota; Metazoa; Arthropoda; Insecta; Hemiptera; Cicadellidae. The record is from RefSeq and is a predicted model, not a curated record. The transcript has 2 exons.
CUUGGUUGAUUGAUAUGCCUUUGAUUUAUCAUAAGUAAGGUUAUAUUACAAAUAGGGAGACUCUCUAGUCCCCCUGUUGGUUAUACGAUUACGGUUUUAUUCUUAAUCGGUUAGCAGUGAACUAAAGUAACGACUGAACAAUUUUGAAAACCUGGUGUAACCUAAUUAAUGUAUAAACUCAAUAGUUUUAGUUAGUUCCAUAUGAUGUUAAGCUUAGUUUUAACGAUGAUUAAAAAUAACAUAUCUGGUUUGAGAAAAUAUCAAACUCAUUCAUUUGGCAAGAAAAAGUGAACGAACGUUCUAGGUGAACGGGUCUUUUGAAACACUCUGAUCUGGAUCACUUGUUCACUUGACUGACCCGUUUGAAUUGAUGGCCAGCUAAUGGCCACUGCCACUGCACGGCUAACCUCAAAACAAAAUACAAGCUUCCUAGAUACAUCUAUGACUACAUUAAUCUGUUCAAUUAAUAUUUUACGCUUAGA